Molecule: long non-coding RNA, 1853 nt
Organism: Rosa chinensis
Lineage: Eukaryota; Viridiplantae; Streptophyta; Magnoliopsida; Rosales; Rosaceae
Exons: 3
Source: RefSeq, a predicted model, not a curated record
CGAUCAUGUGGGAAAAAAGAAAAAGAAAAAAACAGAACAACGGCUAUUUUCUCCAGAACCCGAAACCCCCCAAAAACCCAAAAAAUUCAAAUCCCAUAUACACAGACCAAAACCCAUUUCAGAGCUCUUCAAACCAAAAUCGUAUCCUCUCCAAUUCAGCGAAACCCUUUCCUCUCCAUUUCAAGAAAAGAAGAUCUUUCUUCUCCACAAACCCUUUUCCUCAACACCACCAAACCCUUUCUUGAAGAAUUCGAGGAAUCCAUUCAGAAUUAGAGCAACCCAUUAUUCCAUUGAAGAAUUCCACAGACCCUGUUCCAUUCUGUAAUUGAGUUUCUAGCUGAAAUGAAGAGGAAGCACUGUGAAUGUUGCCAUGACAUAUGCGAUAGUUAAAGUUGUUGCACUGGCUGUAGCUCCAAGAGAAGACUGGAAAGAAAACUUGGAGACUGUAAUGACCUGCCACCAAAGGCUGAACUUGGAGAUAGCAACGAUUGUUUAGAGAGGAUUCUUGUAGAGCAGCCACUGAGGAUGUUAGCUCAAUACCAGAUGGUAUCAAGACAGUGGAAGGCUCUCAUUGGCCAACCAACAUUUCAACAAAUCCUUGCUGAAAAAUCUGAGGCAAACAGCUUGUUUGUGAGUUAUUUGAAGACUGAUAAGGUAGGAAUUGUAAGGCUGAUUCACAACCGAUAUUCAGUGACCAAUUAUAGCCUCCCUCCAUCUAGGUCUGCACUUCCCCUUAAGAAUGUGUUAGGGUCAUGCUACGGCUUGGUAUGCUUGGGAAAUACCAGCCGAGGAGGAUACAGAGCUGAGGAGGAUAUACUCCUUCUCAACCCCUGCACAAAAAAAUUGAGAUUAAUCAAGGAUACAAUACAUUGUGGACUGGAGAGGGGGCACUAUGGCCUCGGUUUUGAUAGAAAAGCACAAGAUUUCAAAAUUGCGAAAGUGUGCACUCCGCUGGUUAGGCACUCCAAGAAGAAGCUCACUCCAAAGAGGGAAGCAGAGAUGGUGCAUAUUAUAAUCUACUCAUGGAAAGAUUCUUGCUGGCGUGAAACUUAUUUUGAAGAUUGGGGUUUCAAUUUGGUUCAUUACCCGGGCAUGUUUCUUGACGGCAAAAUCUACUGGCCAGGGGAGGUUUGGGAGAUGCAAGGGAUAUUUCUCAGACCACAGGGUCACCAAAACUCCUUGGUAAGCUUUGAUGUGUCAUCUGAAACGCUUGGCUGCAUAAACCUGCCAGACGACCUCCAGUCUGAAUAUUGCAGCUUUGGAGUUGUUGCUCGACAUUGACUGCAUGCGUCUGCGGAGAAAAAACUGAAGUUUGGCAAUACACAGAGAAUAAUUUCAGAAAGAGGGCAAGUUUAUCGACUUACAGAAAUCAUAUGUCUUCUCGCCUCCAGCCUCUAUAUCAGCUAGGGAAUCUCAUGGUUCUACUUCACAAUGGCAGGAAAGUUACUCUAUAUGAUAUGUCUGACCACUCCAAGCUACAUGCUUUGGGUCUUGACAAGUGGGUUCAUCAAGGUGCUUACAAUGGAAGAGGGCCAAGAAUGGAAGCAGUGCCAUUGGUUGAAAGCUUGUUUACGCCAACCUUUGAGACAGAAAAGGCAAAUUGUGAAUAAAGUUAUCCAGUAGAGGAUCACAGAUCACAUGGCGCUGAUGCUGAAGGGUGAUUUGGAGAUGAGGAGAAACUUUUGAUCUUUUUGGUUAUACAGAUGGAUAUUCAACAUUAAUUGUUCCCAGCAGGUGGUAUUCGUUUAUAGUAAAUAGUGAAAAGGGGAUAUAACCCCAUACAGAAUACAGACUGAAAAUAUUGUUUGUAAUUGCUUGAGAAGAAUCUAAUGAACAUGGAUUUGACUUUGGAA